GUGGGGAAUCUUCCGCAAUGGACGAAAGUCUGACGGAGCAACGCCGCGUGAGUGAAGAAGGUUUUCGGAUCGUAAAGCUCUUUCGUUAGGGACGAACGUGCUCUUUGUGAAUAAUGAGGAGUAAUGACGGUACCUAAAUAAGAAGCCACGGCUAACUACGUGCCAGCAGCCGCGGUAAUACGUAGGUGGCAAGCGUUGUCCGGAAUUAUUGGGCGUAAAGCGCGCGCAGGCGGGAUAUCAAGUCUGUCUUAAAAGUGCGAGGCUCAACCUCGUGAGGGGACAGAAACUGGUAUUCUUGAGUGUCGGAGAGGAAAGUGGAAUUCCAAGUGUAGCGGUGAAAGGCGUAGAGAUUUGGAAGAACACCAGUGGCGAAGGCGACUUUCUGGACUGUGUCUGACGCUGAGAUGCGAAAGCCAGGGUAGCGAACGGGAUUAGAAACCCUAGUAGUCC
RNAcentral lists this ribosomal RNA (450 nucleotides) under uncultured bacterium. Its description in RNAcentral is "partial 16S ribosomal RNA". It matches the Rfam family "Bacterial small subunit ribosomal RNA", at positions 354 to 796 of the family's 1533-position model. The record is from RNAcentral.